GAUGGUUUGAUUCGAUGAAGACCAAAAAACUUUGUAAUCAGUGUAUUCUCGUAUGACCUCACAUGAUGAUGAUAAUCUGGAAGCAUCCGUAGAAGAACCUUAACUUCAGAUUUUCGGAGUGUUUUAAUCAUGAAACGAUCAUCUUGGGACAGAAAGAAGACACUACCACUCUUCCCAGGUGAAGAUAGCUCUCUAAGAGCAUCAUUUCCACAAAUGGACAUC
This 222-nucleotide unclassified non-coding RNA is filed under the name Hevea brasiliensis (rubber tree). Lineage: Eukaryota; Viridiplantae; Streptophyta; Magnoliopsida; Malpighiales; Euphorbiaceae. The record is from RNAcentral.